UUUAUGAAGGGUAUGAUCUUGGCUCAGAACGAACGCUGGCGGCGUGGAUUAGGCAUGCAAGUCGAACGAGGGAGUAUUCCGAAAGGGAUACAAAUCGAGUGGCGUAAGGGUGAGUAAUGCAUUGAUAACCUACCUUUAAGAUGAGGAUAACGACGUUUCGAGCAAUCGGAACUACCGAAAGGGUUGCUAAAACUCAAUAAAACUAUUGAUACCUCGGUAUUGAUAGUCAAAUGUUUGGAGCCGUAAGGUUCCAUUCGCUUAGAGAGGGGUCAAUGUCCUAUCAGCUAGUUGGUGAGGUAACGGCUCACCAAGGCUAAGACGGGUAGCUGGUCUGAGAGGACGACCAGCCACACUGGAACUGAGACACGGUCCAGACACCUACGGGUGGCAGCAGUCGAGAAUUUUUCACAAUGG
This 414-nucleotide ribosomal RNA is filed under the name Candidatus Brocadiaceae bacterium. RNAcentral's name for it is "bacterial SSU rRNA". It matches the Rfam family "Bacterial small subunit ribosomal RNA", at positions 1 to 374 of the family's 1533-position model. Lineage: Bacteria; Pseudomonadati; Planctomycetota; Candidatus Brocadiia; Candidatus Brocadiales; Candidatus Brocadiaceae. The record is from RNAcentral.